UUCGACCUCAAAUCAGGUAGGACUACCCGCUGAACUUAAGCAUAUCAAUAAGCGGAGGAAAAGAAAACCAAGGGAUUGCCUUAGUAGCGGCGAGUGAAGCGGCAAAAGCUCAAAUUUGAAAUCUGGCACUUUCAGUGUCCGAGUUGUAAUUUGAAGAAGGUAUCUUUGGGUCUGGCAUCUUGUCUAGUUUCCGUGGGAA
This 199-nucleotide ribosomal RNA is filed under the name Lodderomyces parapsilosis. RNAcentral describes it as "Candida parapsilosis partial 28S ribosomal RNA". It matches the Rfam family "Eukaryotic large subunit ribosomal RNA", at positions 1 to 196 of the family's 3401-position model. Lineage: Eukaryota; Fungi; Ascomycota; Pichiomycetes; Serinales; Debaryomycetaceae. The record is from RNAcentral.